AACGAACGCUGGCGGCAUGCCUAACACAUGCAAGUCGAACGAUGCCUUCGGGCAUGGUGGCGCACGGGUGCGUAACGCGUGGGAAUCUGCCUUUCGGUUCGGAAUAACUCAGGGAAACUUGAGCUAAUACCGGAUAACGUCGCAAGACCAAAGAUUUAUCACCGAAAGAUGAGCCCGAGUAGGAUUGGCUAGUUGGGGAGUUAAAGGCUCACCAAGGCGACGAUCCUUAGCUGGUCUGAGAGGAUGAUCAGCCACACUGGGACUGAGACACGGCCCAGACUCCUACGGGAGGCAGCGGGGGGGAAUAUUAGACAGUGGGCGCGAGCCUGAGACAGCAAUGCCGCGUGAGUUAUGAAGGUCUUAGGGUUGUAAAGCUCUUUUACCCGGGAAGUUAAUGACGGUACCGGGAGAAUAAGCCCCGGCUAACUCCGUG
This 433-nucleotide ribosomal RNA is filed under the name uncultured bacterium. RNAcentral's name for it is "partial 16S ribosomal RNA". It matches the Rfam family "Bacterial small subunit ribosomal RNA", at positions 29 to 507 of the family's 1533-position model. The record is from RNAcentral.